AUUGAACGCUGGCGGCAUGCCUUACACAUGCAAGUCGAACGGCAGCACGGGAGCAAUCCUGGUGGCGAGUGGCGAACGGGUGAGUAAUAUAUCGGAACGUGCCCGGUCGUGGGGAUAACGUAGCGAAAGCUACGCUAAUACCGCAUACGAUCUACGGAUGAAAGCGGGGGAUCGCAAGACCUCGCGCGAUUGGAGCGGCCGAUAUCAGAUUAGGUAGUUGGUGAGGUAAAGGCUCACCAAGCCGACGAUCUGUAGCUGGUCUGAGAGGACGACCAGCCACACUGGGACUGAGACACGGCCCAGACUCCUACGGGAGGCAGCAGUGGGGAAUUUUGGACAAUGGGCGCAAGCCUGAUCCAGCAAUGCCGCGUGCAGGAUGAAGGCCUUCGGGUUGGUUAAACGUAG
This 405-nucleotide ribosomal RNA is filed under the name uncultured bacterium. RNAcentral's name for it is "bacterial SSU rRNA". It matches the Rfam family "Bacterial small subunit ribosomal RNA", at positions 30 to 435 of the family's 1533-position model. The record is from RNAcentral.